CGUCUAUAUACGUAUAGCAUAUCAAUAAGCGGAGGAAAAGAAACUAACUAGGAUUCCCUCAGUAACGGCGAGUGAAGCGGGAAGAGCUCAAAUUUGAAAUCUUCAAGGUUUUACCUUGACGAAUUGUAGUUUAAAGAAGUGUUUUCUGUUGGAGUUUUGGUAAAAGUUCUUUGGAAAAGGACAUCAUAGAGGGUGAGAAUCCCGUAUUUGACCAUUAUCUCCAGCUUUGUGAUACACUUUCAAAGAGUCGGAUUGUUUGGGAAUGCAGUCCAAAAUGGGUGGUAAAUUUCAUCUAAAGCUAAAUAUUGGCGAGAGACCGAUAGCGAACAAGUACCGUGAGGGAAAGAUGAAAAGAACUUUGAAAAGAGAGUUAAACAGUACGUGAAAUUGUCAAAAGGGAAGCGUUUGACACCAGUGUUGUUUUCUCGAAAAUCAAUUAAAAAAGGACUGGAUUUUGUGUUGUAUUGACUGUAUCAGCUUUCUGCACUUUUUUCUUGUCUUUUUUAAUGCACUUUUCGUUUAACAAGUCAACAUCAAUUUCUUUUGUUGUAAAAGGGUCAUUGGAAGGUGGCUUUCUUUUCGGAGAAAGUGUUUAUAGCCUUUGACUCCUGCAAUCGGAGAGACUGAGGUCUGCAGCGUAGAUCCUUCGGGGUUAGAUACAUUUGUGCUAAGUUAUAGCUUUGUAUAGACAACUUGUUGACUAUAUUAGUCUUGUAACUUACUCGCUUAUGCUAUUUUACCUACGCUUAGGAUGUUGACUGAUAUGUAGUCGUA
RNAcentral lists this ribosomal RNA (774 nucleotides) under uncultured Neocallimastigales. Its description in RNAcentral is "partial large subunit ribosomal RNA". It matches the Rfam family "Eukaryotic large subunit ribosomal RNA", at positions 26 to 644 of the family's 3401-position model. Lineage: Eukaryota; Fungi; Neocallimastigomycota; Neocallimastigomycetes; Neocallimastigales. The record is from RNAcentral.